Molecule: small RNA, 3676 nt
Filed under: Rattus norvegicus (Norway rat)
Lineage: Eukaryota; Metazoa; Chordata; Mammalia; Rodentia; Muridae
Description: uncharacterized LOC100911923
Source: RNAcentral
UUUUUAAGUAUGGACUUGAAUAUGACAGUCUUUUCACUGAUGUCCAGGGAAUUUCUACCUUACAGUGCCCGGGGAAUGGGAUCUGGGGCUAGCUUUCUUCCUGAGAAAACCAGUCCUGGCUUUUGGGAUAUGGCUUCUCAUAUCUUGAAAGUACUCUGAUAUUCUGAAAGGAUGGUUGGUUGACACUACUGAGAGUCUACAGGGAGUGUGGGAAGUUACUCUUAGCAAACCUCAUAUUUUGGAAAGACAGAACCCAGGAAAGUUUAAUAAUUCCUGUAGGGACAGGAGUGCAGGCUGAGGUUGUUCACGGGAUGCAGGUGCUGUUCAACUUCUAAGUGCGGGCUGAGUUUAAUUCAACCCCCUUGGCCAGCACAGGCCCAGACAGGGCCUGGCUCUUUCUAGUCACCAAGUUGCCCUGACUCCCUGCCUUCUAGCAGAAUAACAAUUCGGGGGCAAUGUAGCGCUUGCCUUAUCUUCUUUGGGCUAGUUGGAGUUUCAGAGCAAAUACAUUCUUCUCUAGCCGGCUUAGCUUAAAGUCUGUUUACUUGUCCCCAGGAUAGGUGAAUAUUCAGAGGGCUCUGGGAAUGAGACCCAACAAACUGGACUUUGGUCCUCUCUUGCCACCAAUCACUCUGAUUCCUCCAGCUCCUACCUAGGGGAAUGUGUCAGCUAUAGAAGCAAUCUUGGCAUGCAGACUGGGGCAUAUCUCUUUAGGAAACUAGGUGCUGGGCUCAAAGUGAGCUGGGUUUAAGGUUUUAGUCCCCACAGUUUGGGGACACAAGCCAUUCACACAGCCUGCAACUGGGUCAGCACCUAGGAGGCUUUCAAAAACUGGGGCUCAGAUUUGUUCUGACCUCCAAGUAAAAGAAAUAAACAUUCUAGAGAUGCCCUGACACUGAGAUGGUGGAAGAGGGGAAGUUUCCUCAGUGAGCUGUAGAACAAAUGCCCUAGAAACUGCCCCCUGACAAGUAUCCCACUCAACUCCAGGCCGCGAUGGUUCAGGCAGUGGGGGGAUUUUGCAGACAGCAUCCUCCUCUUUGCUCCUCUCCCCCACCCCACCCCAACCCCGCCGUGUAAACACGAGGACUUUCUCGAGAGCCCUGGAGAGCCGCUCUAGUGGCUUCGGGGCCUGAAACCCCAGGCUUGGCUUGUUUGAUGUUUAGCAUCCCAAAGCGGCUCCCCACCCCCGCCCCAGCCUGGGAACCCCGAGCUCCGGGGCCGAAGAGAAGGGGAAGCAGUUCUCUCAGCUGGAGGGCGGUGGAUUGGCUGGGCUUAGAGAAGUGGCGAAAACUACAGGACUCCCCGCCCUGAGCAGGGGAGAAAGGGAUCCCGGAAUGAUGCGGUCAUCCAUGAGGAUAUAGCUGGAGUCCUAAAGGCCAAGAGGCAGACGGGGAAAGAAAUGUCACAAUUUGGGGGAAUACACUGGAGAUAGGGGCCAGGUCGGUGGAAAUAGCUUGGGGCCACCGCGAAAACAAGGUAAGCGGUGUCUGGGUCCAGUUAGUGAGCAUCGAGAACGGCGUCCACGACUGCAGGGCUAUCAGGGCCUCGAGGAGACAGCGCUCCGUGCCACUGCUUAGUGCUUGGCCUUUCAUAGGGACGAACCUGCUUAGGAGUCUUCCAAGAGAUUUUUAAAUCCUCCGAGUCUGGACCUGGAAGCUCCAUUGGCGACGUUUGGAUCUGGCUUCGUAGUCUUUGAUUUCGAAAGCCCAGGAAGAUUCGCAGACUUUCAAGGCCGCACACACCGCAUUGCCGGGAGUCUGGGCGGCGGUGAGGACUGAGAAGCUGUCUCAAGACCUGAGUCUCUUCUCAGGCGAUCCCAGAUAAGAGGAGAGAGAGAGAGCUUUUCUGACUUCCAACUCAUUAGGGACCAGAUUUGCUCUCCAGCACAGCAAAAGGGUCUGCCUGUGACCCUCACCGAACUCACUCUUCACUGCUUUAUAGAGACCAUCAGACUCAGGACAAAUAUUCUAGUUUGGAUGCGCAAUUAAUAAUAAGAAGAUACAGGACAGAGGCGGACUGAAUGGCUCCAAUUCUCAGAAUGUGAAAGCGUAAAUCAGAACCUACUAUUUUGUAAAACCAACUUGGAAAACAAAAUUGUCAGAAGCAAAACAACAACAACAACAACAAUAAAAACCAAACCAACAACAAAACCAAGCAAGUCAGGCUGUUUUACCAAUAAAGGGGGCACUGAAUGGAAUCAGAGAUCUGAUAAGUGCCGGGAAGUUGGACUAAGAGGGACAGGAGACUUCGAAACUUCUCUGAAUACUGCUUUGCUGCUGACUUCCAAGGAGAUCUCACCAGAGCUGAGCUGAAGCCAGGACCAUAGUGUUAUUGACAUUACCCCCAGAGACAUGAAGAAACAUCUGCUGCCCCUAGAUAUGAAACCAACACAGACCAAACCAACUGUCAGUACUGCAAGUGGUCCACCCACCAAAGAGAUGGAACUCAACGUGGUAGAAUAGAAGCUGAGACAUGUGGACUUGACAGACUUGAGACUCGGCUAUUCAUCCCAGCUCUGAGAGCCCAUGCAGCUCAUUGAGCCUUCGCGACUCCUGGUUUUACUUUCAGCAAAAUGGAGAUAUUAAGACAGGUUCCCUUGUGGUCCAGGAGACCUCAAACUCUCUCUGUAGAUGAGGAUAACCUUGAAUUCCUGAUCCUCCUGCUCUCAUCUUUCAAAAUAGAUGCCUCCAAGGUGAUUUACACGUUCUUCUUGUCUUGAGGUUUGGGAUUCCCGUUUUGGGUCUGCAGAAUUGAGACAGUGCUCCAGCAAGAAUUCCAUCUCUGUCUGUUUUAUUCCCACUGAAGAGAAAAAUGACUUUAAUGGCAACAACAAAUGCUUCACUUGUUAGCCUUUCUGUUCCCGACCCUGACACAAAUAAACUAAUAUUCCAUCUACCCGGCACCGGCCUGAGCUCUGGGAUCAGUACACGUCAACCUGAACCCGGAAGAGUUCCAAGUAUCUUUCCCCUUCUCUGUCAGGUUCGUGUUACCCUGAACCUGUGAGCUCAGAAGGAAUUUUCUGGUUUUCGGGAGACGGCAGCCAUUCAUCAUAGCUCUCCACCACUGACUGACUGAGAGUCAAUUAUCAUCAAACAUCCAUCUGCCCAUGAUGCUAAUUAUUCCUACUCCAUGAUUGAGGAUUUGGAGUCGGAGACUCACCUGCAAUAUUUGGAAUACCAGUGGAGAUCCAUAUCAACAUGGAAUUUAUACAGCAGCUGGUGCCAGUCACAGCUAAUGAUGAAACUUCAGCUUAAUAAAAAGACCCCCAACUGAGUACAACCAUCUCGAAGAAAGUGUACUUAUCAAACAGCUUUCAAUCAGUUCAAGAGAGACACCUUAAUUGUGAAGAGCAAGAACCGCACAGCAGUUGUCACCAUGCCAACUUCAGAUCAAUGGCACUUCCACUGCUCUUGGUACAUAUAGCCUUGCCUAUGUCCUUAACUGCACCAACAUCCUUCCUGUUGGGAUGAGAUCUUGUCAGCUGCUAGCGUGUGAUGAUGCCUUCGUUCAUUACAUUACUAUACCCCUUAGCAAAAUUUAAACGUGUAAUGAUAAAGGUCACUACCUUUUCCUUUAAUUAAGACCUCUAUUUCUUGUUACCAGAAACAAGUGCCUAUGACAUUUUGUAUUUUCAGAAAUUAUCCUGUUGAAAUAAAGCUACACAAACAAAAUAAAA